RNAcentral lists this long non-coding RNA (797 nucleotides) under Manacus vitellinus (golden-collared manakin). RNAcentral describes it as "lncRNA (ENSMVIG00005003920.1)". Lineage: Eukaryota; Metazoa; Chordata; Aves; Passeriformes; Pipridae. The record is from RNAcentral.
AUACUCCGAGUGCAGCAGACAGCAGAGAUGUGCAUUGCUGGAAUCCAGAGUGUUUCGUAAUUUGGCAGCCACUUGCUGAAAGCCCUGCAGAUACAAAACAACACUUAUUUCAAGUCUUGAGAAACAUCUACUAAGUAGAAGAAAAAAGCAUUUAGAGCGUGUUUCACCUCUAUAUGUGCUGACAAGAUCAGAAGUGCAGGGUGCCAGCAUGACUGUGACUGUGUUGAACAAUGCACACCAAUGCUUUCAGAAAUACAGGAAAGAGCAAUUUAUAUUAGGAUUGGAAUUCACUUCAGGCUUUACUGCUAUUUGUCACCACUCAGGAAACCCAUCCCUAGCUCUAGGAGAACACUCAAUCCCUGCUGACAGCCUGGAAGAGGAAGAGAAAAUAGCAGAGCUGCAGCUAUUAAGACCAACAGGCAAAUAUUUUAUUCAAACUCAACUUUUUCUUCCCAAGUUACUUUUAAGAAUGUUUUUCUGUUUGUGGGAAUGUGAAUGUGGGUUGUUUGUUUGUUUGUUUUCCUGGGGACUCUUCUAUUCAGCUGCUUCAUCUUCUCCCACCUUUCAGACAGCAGAGCUUGCAGCAGUGACAAGAUGUAAUCCCAAGUAAAACUGCCUCUGCCUGUGGCCUUGGUUAACCUGCUGGCAGUGAUACGUGCCUGGGCACGGGGCAGCUGUUUUACACAGCUCAGCAUGGACGUGCUGCCACUCCCAGUCACUUUUAGGACCCAGUUGAGUUGUUUACAGCAAUCUCAAAAAAAGCUUGUAAUAAAAAUUGUUCUGCCUUCCUGAAGCCA